This 659-nucleotide long non-coding RNA is filed under the name Eutrema salsugineum. Its description in RNAcentral is "long non-coding RNA (ESAL_LNC000694)". The record is from RNAcentral. Lineage: Eukaryota; Viridiplantae; Streptophyta; Magnoliopsida; Brassicales; Brassicaceae.
GAUUUAGGGAAUACCAAAGAAAUUGUCCACACCAUGGAUAUACCAACGAACACUUGAUGGGUAUCUUCUAUCGAAGUAUUACUCCCACUACAAAAAAAUAGGUAUAUUGCAAUGACGAUUACAUAUUGCAAUAUGCCAUAAUAUUGUUGGAAACAUAUAAUUUGCAAUAUAAUUGCGACAAUUUUAUAAUGUUGCUAUUUGUGUCUUGUUGCUAGUUUCACAAUAAUUUGAUUUGUUAUUAUAUUUAUGGUAUUAAUACAAUGAUAUUUUUAUUGCAAAUUUAUCGUAUUAAUGCUACAAAACAGACAUAGCAAAUCAUUAAUACAAAACAGACAUAGCAAAUCUUGAUUUGCAAUGAAAUUAGUUCUUGUUAUUUUGUGGUAUUCACGCAACAAAAUUCUGGUUAGAUACAACAAACAACAAACAUUUGCAACUUCAAAUUGUCAUCAAUAUCUGCGGAGAUUGGCGGCUUGCAAUUUAAGGCUAGGUGGUUUAGGCAGUAACCGAUUUCUCAGUCUACUACCGACUUUAAAAAAAAACCGGUGACAAUUUUAAAAACCAGUGACUAGUUACUAUUAUUCAGGCCCAAUAACUGUCCCAAAUGGAGUAAAUUGCGAAAGGAAUUUCCUACGGGCCCAUUGUAUGUAUGAGUAUAAUUU